UACGGAGGGGGCUAGCGUUGUUCGGAAUUACUGGGCGUAAAGGGCACGUAGGCUGGCUGUUAAGUCGGUGGUGAAAUGCUGAGGCUCAACCUCAGAAUUGCCUUCGAUACUGACGGUCUUGAGUGCGGGAGAGGUGAGUGGAAUUCCCAGUGUAGCGGUGAAAUGCGUAGAUAUUGGGAGGAACACCAGUGGCGAAGGCGGCUCACUGGACCGGAACUGACGCUGAGGCGCGAAAGCGUGGGGAGCAAACAGG
Molecule: ribosomal RNA, 253 nt
Filed under: uncultured bacterium
Lineage: Bacteria
Description: partial 16S ribosomal RNA
Rfam family: Bacterial small subunit ribosomal RNA
Source: RNAcentral